UGGCAUAUAGAGCAUUGCAUGGAC
Molecule: non-coding RNA, 24 nt
Filed under: Arabidopsis thaliana (thale cress)
Lineage: Eukaryota; Viridiplantae; Streptophyta; Magnoliopsida; Brassicales; Brassicaceae
Source: RNAcentral